UUUGAUUAUGGCUCAGAUUGAACGCUGGCGGGAUGCUUUACACAUGCAAGUCGAACGGCAGCACGGACUUCGGUCUGGUGGCGAGUGGCUUGAACGGGUGAGUAAUGUAUCGGAACGUGCCUAGUAGCGGGGGAUAACUACGCGAAAGCGUAGCUAAUACCGCAUACGCCCUUCCAGGAAAGCGAGGGGGGGCCUUCGGGCCUCGCACUAUUAGAGCGGCCGAUAUCGGAUUAGCUAGUUGGUGGGGUAACCUCACCAAGGCGACGAUCCGCCAGCUGGUUUGAAGGACGACCAGCCACUGGGACUGAGACACGGCCCAGACUCCUACGGGAGGCAGCAGUGGGGAAUUUUGGACAAUGGGGAAACCUGAUCCAGCCAUCCCGCGUGUGCGAUGAAGGCCUUCGGGUUGGUAAAAGCACUUUUGGCAGGAAGAAACGGCACGGGGAUAAUACCCGUGCAACUGACGGUACCUGCAGAAUAAGCACCGGCUAACUACGUGCCAGCAGCCGCGGUAAUACGUAGGGUGCAAGCGUUAAUCCCG
Molecule: unclassified non-coding RNA, 541 nt
Filed under: uncultured Bordetella sp.
Lineage: Bacteria; Pseudomonadati; Pseudomonadota; Betaproteobacteria; Burkholderiales; Alcaligenaceae
Description: partial 16S-23S ribosomal RNA intergenic spacer
Rfam family: Bacterial small subunit ribosomal RNA
Source: RNAcentral